Populus euphratica (Euphrates poplar) is the source of this 4391-nucleotide RNA transcript. It is a transcript of the gene named serine/threonine-protein phosphatase PP1 isozyme 2-like, with no coding region annotated. NCBI's taxonomy places the organism in Eukaryota, Viridiplantae, Streptophyta, Magnoliopsida, Malpighiales, Salicaceae. The transcript is spliced from 4 exons. The record is from RefSeq and is a predicted model, not a curated record.
ACAUUUUGUUGUUACCGUCGUCUCCUUUCCACUAUACCAAUACAUACUCGACAUUCAAAAUCGCCAAAAAGAAAAGAAAACUUCGAUUUGGGAGAGGGAAAUCGAGCUUGAAGAUAUACAAGUAGAUUUUGUUUGUUAUAAUGGAAGAGGAAGGAAAGCAGCAGAGGAAGGAGGGAACAACAAUGGAGGCUGGUCUUUUAGAUAGCAUAAUAAGUCGUUUGUUAGAAUUGAGGCAAACAAGGUUAGCCAAACAACCGCAGGUUCAGCUUAGCGAGAAUGAGAUCCGUCAACUCUGUGCUGUUGCCAAAGAAAUCUUUCUUCAACAACCCAAUCUUCUCGAGCUGGAAGCCCCCAUUAAGAUCUGUGGUGACAUUCAUGGGCAAUAUUCAGAUCUUUUGAGACUUUUUGAAUAUGGAGGUUUUCCUCCUAGUGCCAAUUAUUUAUUCUUAGGUGAUUAUGUGGACCGUGGGAAGCAGAGUUUGGAAACAAUAUGCCUUUUGCUUGCCUACAAAAUCAAGUAUCCUGAGAACUUCUUCCUUUUAAGAGGAAACCAUGAGUCUGCUUCGAUUAAUCGAAUUUAUGGAUUCUAUGAUGAAUGUAAACGACGGUUCAAUGUGAAACUUUGGAAGACAUUUACAGAUUGUUUUAACUGUCUUCCUGUUGCUGCUCUUAUAGAUGACAAAAUAUUGUGCAUGCACGGUGGGCUUUCCCCUGAAUUAACAAAUUUGGAUCAAAUUAGGAACUUGCCUCGUCCAACUGAUGUUCCAGAUUCUGGCUUGCUUUGCGAUUUACUUUGGUCUGAUCCUGACAGGGAUAUCAAAGGCUGGGGACUGAAUGACCGGGGGGUCUCAUAUACAUUUGGCCCUGAUAAGGUUGCAGAAUUCUUAAUGAGGAAUGAUAUGGACCUUGUUUGUCGUGCCCAUCAGGUCGUUGAGGAUGGAUAUGAAUUCUUUGCAGAGAGGCGGCUUGUAACAAUAUUUUCAGCUCCCAACUAUUGCGGUGAAUUUGAUAAUGCCGGUGCAAUGAUGAGUGUUGAUGAAACCCUAAUGUGCUCUUUCCAAAUACUCAAGCCUGCAGACAAAAGGUUCAGGUUCAUGUGAAAUGAUUGCUCUUUGCUGUCCUAUAACCACUUACAAUUUCUAUGCAAGUUUUAUGCUAUGAGUUCUCUUUUUUGUAUUGGUUGUUCCUUUAAUGGUAAAUUAUUUUUGUUAUCAAACAAAAUUCCAUUCUUUAGUUAUUUCUGAAAGACAAGAGCUUUCUAGGGAAGGGUGUGGGAAAAAAGACAACCUCAUAGGUGAUUAUUUAAUUUGUAAUAUUUGAGGAAUCAAUAUCAUUUGCUAAUCGUAUUGCUGCAGUAAAUACAAGUAAUAGAGCAUGCUUCUAUAAAUUGGACACGAUAUAAUUGUAAACAGAGUUGUAAUCUUCUAAUUAAACUGAUUUGGCUAGAUCUUCUGCACGCCAAAUACAUCUAAAGUUAGUCAUUGCUCUCUAUGAAUUUGAUUUUUUUGUUGCAAUAAUUUUUUUUCUCUCACCAUCAUGAUCAUGAUAUAAAUUGUUGCUUAGCUACAUAAUUAGAUUAGGUAAAAUAUCUAAUACACACCAACUAUGAGAAGCCCAUAUAUUGAUUCAGCGAUGCAGAGGAAACUUUCAUAUAAAAUGUAGUGUGCUUAAAUGAAAAAUAGAAUAAAAAAUAAAAGAAAGUAAGGGAAUGAGGACUGGUCUAGCAAUUCAAUGUAGGGUCUACUUUCAUUAUCAAUAAUACCAUGUUGAUUUAUUCUUUAAUAAAUGAAAGGAUAAGGAGUGCAGCCCCCAUUUAUUUUAUGUUGAAGCUCUGCCAAUGCUUGCCGUGUAAUGGCAUAAAUGAUUCACAUUUUAGCCAUAUAAUAGGAUUCAGAAUUGUAUUAUAUCUUGUGGGUGUUUGUGACUAGUAUGUUUGUUGUUGAUGGUGCUUUUUGAGUGGCAGUUUAUCUUUCUGUUGCUAUUUUCUUUGCUUGAAGGCUAAGAAUAAGCUUCACUUUUUAAUGGGUAGAAAUUUCAAGAGCAAAGCUGUUAGGGAAAAUGAAGUUACUUCUGAAUUUUGUUUAGAUCUUUUUUGGGUUUCUGAUUUUAUCAAUCGGUUAAUUUUCAGUUUCAUGAAAGACAUUAUAUUUCAUAUAAAGGCAUACAUUGAAGAGCAAUUCUUUGAAACUGUAGACUUUUAUGUCUAAUCCCAUUUCAAUGUAUGAGCCAACUAAACUGUUCCAUGGAGAGGUGUUGUUGUUCCUUUCUGAACUAUGCUUUUUUUAUUUUUUAUUAUUAUUUUGUGCUUCCUAGCUUUACUUUACAUCAGCAUACAACUGGUCACCAAUCACUGAGUGUCAUUUUUCAGGAAAGAAAAUCUGUUUUUUUUUUUAUUUCUCUUUAUGAUGGACAACAAGAGUUUAUUUUUAAAAAAUAGCAGUGUUGCUGAUUAACAAACAAAAGCUUGUCCCUCAAGUAUCACCACUGCUACCACUGGCAAAAGCUAUAUUAGUUUCAUGUUUAAAUCUGCCAGCAACUCCUUCAAUAUCCAAACUGUCAACAAGCUGUGACCUCAUAUCUUAUGAUAACCUACACUACCAAAAACAUCGAUGCAUUGCCUUAUAACAGUUUUCACCACCAUUGAGAAGCAAAUGAGUCUUUAUUCGAUGUUAUUGUCCAAUUUACUAUAGGUCCUUACUCUCUCAACAUUUUCUCAAUGCAGCUCCUUUACUCCUCUUCUAUUUAGCUGGUCCCUCUACUCUAGAAAAUUUCUUACUGUUGUCCCUCUAUAAAACUUCCUUCCGAUUUACCUCUAAUUCUUGACAACAAGUCAGAAAAAGUGGACACGUGUAUAUAAUUAAUGGUAAAUUGGAUGGGACUGCAUUAAGAAAUUUUCUAGAGGAGAGGGGCUAACUACAUAAAAAAGAGUAGAAAGGCCACAGUAAGAAAAUGCAAAUUAUAGGGACCAAAUAUAUGAUUAAUCCAUUUACCAUAUUCAGUGAUACCCAGCACUAUAAAUAACAUGACUUUACCUUUCUGCCAUCAUCACUUUUUUACCACUGCUGCUAUUAUUUUUUGUCUACUUCAUCAUCAUUACCACCUCCAUUAUCCUCUGAACUCCUAGUGUGCAUUUCAUUCCUUGGAGCCAAUUCUGAAAGAUCAAACAUCAUUAUCAAUCUGCCAUGCUACCAUAAAUACAGCUGAAAGCAACAUCUCCACUUUGCACUUGCCUUCAUCAAACAUAUCCAUAACCACCUUGUCCUUCACCACCAGCAGUUCCCUGCUAUUGUGCCCCAUUGCCUCCUUUAUAAUGCUUAUUGGAUGUGGAACCACCUUUCUUUUUCAUGCUUUCUGGUGUACCACUCAUGCUUUUAUCACAUAGUGGUCCCCUGAAAGUACUUUUUAUUUUUUAUUUUUAUACGUAGGCUGAAUUUUAAACAAAACGGUUUUGCUGCCUCCAGUAAAUAUGCAUAGUAAUAACCGACAUGUUUAGAUUGUGAGAAAUUGAAAUAUACACAAGUUUUUUAGUUGUUGUACAACUAUGCAUUAGUUUAGAUGUUGACUCUUCCAUUAGUUUUUAUUGAUCAUUUAAAGUUUGUUUCUUCUAUAUGACAGUUCAAAUUCUUCUCCUUCAUUGUUCUUAUAUUCCUCCUGUAAUUGACAGGUUUUGAACUUAUUUUCAAGUAUGUUACAGGGAGAAUCAUUUGGGUAUGAAAAUGUUGCCAUCAAAGCUGCUUCAACUUUGAGCUGCAGCCACCAUGCUGUUACAAUGUUUCUCGUGUUGAGGGUACGGGGUUAUUUAUUGAAAAUGCUCUGUUUGCAGGAGCUUUCCAAAUUCCAAAAUUUGGAGCUGACUGUUUUUUUAUAGCAAUGUCAUAGGCCAGUUUUUCCUUUUCGAGUUCUAGCGCAAAUUAUGAUGCCCGUGUAUAUACAUUUUAUCUAUAAAUGACUGCACUGAUACAGCAGUGCACGAUUGCCUGCCUUUUACUAAGAAUUUUUUUGAUGGUAAGUUCCCAAAUGACUCUCGCAAGCUAGUGCACUAGGGUUCUGGCCUCUGAUUUUCUCGGGCUUUUUUGGGGCCCAAGCAUCAGAUGAAGUUUGUGAAUUGACUGAGCUGCCAGCAUCAGUUUGUUGGAAUGUUCGAAGGAAGCCUGAACGGAUAAACUAAGUGUUGGCAAGCAAGUUCAUUCUUGUUUUACUAUUUGUCUCGCUUUGAGCUUGGUGCCGCCAAGAAUCAUUCUAAAUUCCAUCGUAAAGAGUACUGAAACUUUUUUCUUUUUAACACAACUUGACGGUCACAGAACAUGUGAAGAAUAAAGUGUAGCUCGCUCGUCUUGUUAUGCUUGCAAGGAUUGUUUAUUUAUUCAACUUUAUACGAGUUUGGUUUGCUA